The sequence is a ribosomal RNA, 402 nucleotides long. It matches the Rfam family "Bacterial small subunit ribosomal RNA", at positions 355 to 774 of the family's 1533-position model.
UGGGGGAUAUUGCACAAUGGGGGAAACCCUGAUGCAGCGACGCCGCGUGAGGGAAGACGGUUUUCGGAUUGUAAACCUCUGGCUUUGGGGACGAAUAAUGACGGUACCCAAGGAGGAAGCCACGGCUAACUACGUGCCAGCAGCCGCGGUAAUACGUAGGUGGCAAGCGUUGUCCGGAAUUACUGGGUGUAAAGGGAGCGUAGGCGGUGAAUCAAGUUGAAUGUUAAAUACAGAGGCUCAACCUCUGUUCGCGUUCAAAACUGGUUUACUUGAGUGAAGUAGAGGCAGGCGGAAUUCCUAGUGUAGCGGUGAAAUGCGUAGAUAUUAGGAGGAACACCAGUGGCGAAGGCGGCCUGCUGGGCUUUUACUGACGCUGAGGCUCGAAAGUGUGGGGAGCAAACA